Molecule: ribosomal RNA, 115 nt
Filed under: Microtus ochrogaster (prairie vole)
Lineage: Eukaryota; Metazoa; Chordata; Mammalia; Rodentia; Cricetidae
Source: RNAcentral
AUGUAAUAUCAUGCCACCCUGAACAUACCCAAUCUCUUCUCAUCUCAGAAGCUAAGCAGGCUCAGAACUGAUUAGUACUUGGAUGGAAGACCACCAGGGAGUACUAGGUGACAAA